RNAcentral lists this ribosomal RNA (221 nucleotides) under Oxyrrhis marina. RNAcentral's name for it is "partial Eukaryotic large subunit ribosomal RNA". It matches the Rfam family "Eukaryotic large subunit ribosomal RNA", at positions 2420 to 2629 of the family's 3401-position model. The record is from RNAcentral. Lineage: Eukaryota; Dinophyceae; Oxyrrhinales; Oxyrrhinaceae.
GCUUGACUCUAGUCUGACGUUGUGAAAUGACUUGGGAGGUGUAGAAUAAGUGGGAGGGCAACCGAUCUUGAAAUACCACUACUCUCAACGUUGUUUUACUUAUUCCGUGAAGUACAGCCCGCGUGUGGAGACAUGCGCGGUUCUAGACCGAAGCGGGUGCGGCGUGAGCCGCUGCCCGUGAUGUACGCGGACGACAUCGUCAGGUGGGGAGUUUGGCUGGG